This is a long non-coding RNA of Quercus lobata, 534 nucleotides long. RefSeq lists it as uncharacterized. The transcript has 3 exons. Lineage: Eukaryota; Viridiplantae; Streptophyta; Magnoliopsida; Fagales; Fagaceae. The record is from RefSeq and is a predicted model, not a curated record.
GUGAAUCCUACCACAGGUCCAUCUGUGGCAGAGGGUAUGGCUUCCUUUUCAGUUGUCAUCAUUGGCCACUUGGCCUCACCAGGACCAAGUCCAUAGAGUUUAGAAGCUAUCUACAAAUUCCAGCAAUAGCAAAGUGCAUAAUUGAAAAGCUCUGCCCUUAUUAUAAAUGCUCCUCUGCAGACUUCAUUCAAAAUACAAAUCAGCAAACAUUAGGUGUAGAGAGAGAAAUCUGAGGGAUUUUUCCAUUGUCAGCCUGUUUCCCUCCGCUUUCUGGCUUCAAGCCACCAUUAUACCUCUAGAAACAUUACCAGUAAAGUUUUUAAUUUUGUUUUAAAAUGUUGUUGGUAAAAAUAUGAUUUAGGUUUUGGUAUUUCAAUUUAGGGUUUAGAUUUGCGUUUAUUUUGGUAGAUUAGCCUGGGAGCAUUAGUUUGUAUGAUAAAUCUUCAAUAGCUUAUGAUCUUCAAAAACUGAAAAUCUUUUUUAUUAUAUUAGUUGGUUUCUCAAUUCUAAGAAACUCUUUUUUUUCCCUUUGGU